Molecule: ribosomal RNA, 466 nt
Filed under: uncultured bacterium
Lineage: Bacteria
Description: partial 16S ribosomal RNA
Rfam family: Bacterial small subunit ribosomal RNA
Source: RNAcentral
GACGAACGCUGGCGGCGUGCUUAACACAUGCAAGUCGAACGAUGAAGCCUAGCUUGCUGGGUGGAUUAGUGGCGAACGGGUGAGUAACACGUGAGUAACCUGCCCCUUACUCUGGGAUAAGCGCUGGAAACGGCGUCUAAUACUGGAUAUUACCUUUCAUCUCAGGGUGUUUGGUGGAAAGAUUUUUCGGUUUGGGAUGGACUCGCGGCCUAUCAGCUUGAUGGUGAGGUAGUGGCUCACCAUGGCGACGACGGGUAGCCGGCCUGAGAGGGUGACCGGCCACACUGGGACUGAGACACGGCCCAGACUCCUACGGGAGGCAGCAGUGGGGAAUAUUGCACAAUGGGCGCAAGCCUGAUGCAGCAACGCCGCGUGAGGGAUGACGGCCUUCGGGUUGUAAACCUCUUUUAGUAGGGAAGAAGCGUAAGUGACGGUACCUACAGAAAAAGCACCGGCUAACUACGUG